Molecule: small nucleolar RNA, 107 nt
Filed under: Gossypium arboreum
Lineage: Eukaryota; Viridiplantae; Streptophyta; Magnoliopsida; Malvales; Malvaceae
Description: Plant small nucleolar RNA R71
Rfam family: Plant small nucleolar RNA R71
About the family: R71 is a member of the C/D box family of snoRNAs containing the C (UGAUGA) and D (CUGA) box motifs. Multiple nearly identical copies of this snoRNA have been identified in Arabidopsis, and it is thought to function as a 2'-O-ribose methylation guide for 18S ribosomal RNA.
Source: Rfam by way of RNAcentral
AACCCAUAGUGAGGGCACAUUUUCAAAAGGUCUUUGUAUCUCUCCCAUGCAUCGUAGAGUGUUUCUAAAUCCAUCUGCCCAAAAGAAGAGAUAUCAUUACGUAAUUU